RNAcentral lists this unclassified non-coding RNA (388 nucleotides) under soil metagenome. Its description in RNAcentral is "partial contains 5.8S ribosomal RNA, internal transcribed spacer 2, and large subunit ribosomal RNA". The stretch from base 1 to 121 matches the Rfam family "5.8S ribosomal RNA", at positions 35 to 154 of the family's 154-position model. The record is from RNAcentral.
GAUGAAGAACGCAGCGAAGUGCGAUAAGUAGUGUGAAUUGCAGAAUUUCGUGAAUCAUCGAAUCUUUGAACGCAAAUUGCACUCUCCGGUUUUCCGGGAGAGUAUGCCUGUUUGAGGGUCAGCCUAAAUAAAUUCGGCUUCGUUGCUGUGUUUCGCGGCAACGUUUUAGUCGGAAUUUGGGUCAUCUUAAACCGAAAGGUCUUAAGCGACUUAAAAAUUUUUUUUACGAUCCCACGAACGUUUCUAAGAUCUUCUUACACGUUCAAGGUGUCGAAUACCCUACUAGUCGUGGCCGUCUUAUCGGAUCGCGUCCAUAAUAUUUAAUCUUUAACUGACCUCAGACAGGUAAGAGUACCCGCUGAACUUAAGCAUAUCAAUAAGCGGAGGA